Molecule: ribosomal RNA, 468 nt
Filed under: uncultured bacterium
Lineage: Bacteria
Description: partial 16S ribosomal RNA
Rfam family: Bacterial small subunit ribosomal RNA
Source: RNAcentral
GACGAACGCUGGCGGCGUGCUUAACACAUGCAAGUCGAACGGAAAGGCCCUACUUUUGUUGGCUGCACGAUUGGCGAACGGGUGAGUAACACGUGAGUAACCUGCCCUUGACUUUGGGAUAACUUCAGGAAACUAGGGCUAAUACCGGAUAGGAGCUCCUGCUGCUUGUUGUGGGUUGGAAAGUUUCGGCGGUUGGGGAUGGACUCGCGGCUUAUCAGCUUGUUGGUGGGGUAGUGGCUUACCAAGGCUUUGACGGAUAGCCGGACUGAGAGGGUGACCGGCCACAGUGGGACUGAGAUGCGGCCCAGACUCCUACGGGAGGCAGCAGUGGGGAAUAUUGCACAAUGGGCGGAAGCCGGAUGCAGCAACGCCGCGUGCGGGAUGACGGCCUUCGGGUUGUAAACCGUUUUCGCCUGUGACGAAGCGUGAGUGACGGUAAUGGGUAAAGAAGCAACGGCUAACUACGUG